This 305-nucleotide ribosomal RNA is filed under the name uncultured bacterium. Its description in RNAcentral is "bacterial SSU rRNA". It matches the Rfam family "Bacterial small subunit ribosomal RNA", at positions 337 to 636 of the family's 1533-position model. The record is from RNAcentral.
UCCUACGGGGGGCAGCAGUAGGGAAUUUUCGUCAAUGGGCGCAAGCCUGAACGAGCAAUGCCGCGUGAACGAGGAAGGUCUUCGGAUCGUAAGUUCUGUUGAAGGGGAAAAAGAGCGGAGAGAGGAAAUGGUCUCCGAUUGAUAUUACCCUUCGAGGAAGUCACGGCUAACUACGUGCCAGCAGCCGCGGUAAUACGUAGGUGGCGAGCGUUAUCCGGAAUGAUUGGGCGUAAAGGGUGCGUAGGCGGCCUGCUAAGUCUGGAGUGAAAGGUACCGGCUCAACCGGUACAGGCUCUGGAAACUGG